GUGUUGGGGAGCUGAUCCUACAGAUCCCUCAGACCCCACAGGAGAAGUAAGGAGCUGAUCCCACAGAUCCCACAGGAGGGGUGAGGAGCAGAUCCUACACAUCCCACAGGAGAGGUGGAGAGCUGAUCCUACAGGCAGAAGAGGAGCUGAUCCCACUGACCCUACAAGUAAUAAGGGGAACUGACCCCACAGACCCUACAGGAAGGGUGAGGAGCUGAUGCCACAGAUCCCAUAGGAGGAGGAGCUGAUCCUACAGGCAGAAGGGGAGCUGACCCCACAGACCCUACAGGUAAAAGGGGAGCUGACCCCACAAAGCCCACAGGUAAAAGGGGAGCUGACCCCACAGACCCUACAGGAGGGGUGGGGAGCUGAUCCUACAGGCAGAAGGCGAGCAGAUCCCACAGAUCCUACAGGAAAAAGGGCAGCUGACCCCACAGAGCCCACAGGAGCAGGGGAGCUGACCCCACAGACCCUACAGAAAGGGUGGAGAGUUGAUCCUACAGGCAGAAGAGGGGCAGAUCCCACAGAUCCUACAGGAAAAAGAGGAGCUGACCCCACAGGUAUGAGGGCAGCUGACCCCACAGAGCCCACAGCAGCAGGGUGGGCACAGGCAGUGCCCGCUGUGCCCGCCAUGCCAGCCAUGAUCCCUGGGGCUCUGUGAGGGCACAGGAGGGAGGGGAGGGGAGGGAAGGAACACCCAGGGCUGGCUCAGGGCAAUCCUCUGCUCACCCCAACAAUCUCACGUUACAUUAUCUGUUAUUUUGGGGUUUUUUUUCCUUGCAAAAAUCCAUAAUAAAACCAUUUCCCACCAUACCCAAUGAACAGCAGGUUUCAAAAUGAUUUUCCAAUUUCUCCUCCCUGUUCUGCCCCUCUAGAGAAGGAAUAAAAGGGUGAGUGGACAUGGGAAAGCUGAAGGCUGAAAACCUGAAUUUCUCUGGAAUGGGCUGCAAUUAAGAGUUUUCUAUCCAGCAGAGACAAAACAUCUGAAGGAUUUUUUAUAAAAUCAAAGACACUGGAGCAUCUCAGAAUUUCUUGAUUGUUUUCCAUGAAAAACGUGCCUAAAUCCAAAAAACACAGGAUUCCUCCCUGUGCUCCAUCCUCCUCCUCCUCUGGAAUUAUUUUUGCUGAGACUAAACUCAUCUUAAAUCUGUUCAAACAAAACUUGAUUAUUUUUUUUUUCUCCACAUAUUCCAAAUAUAGAAGAAUAAUUUUAAACAGCUCUUACCAGCACUGGGGGAAAAAAAUCUAAUUCUACUUGAGGAUUUGUAAGUAUGGUUUUUUUUCCACAGAUCAGUCUCAAACCUUAUUGCUUCACAACUGCAGUAUCCCUUGGGAAAAAAAAUAAAAUAAAAUAUUGGAAAAAAAUCAUAUAUUGAAAAAAAAAUCAUAUAUUGGAAAGAAAUCAAAUAUUGAAUAAAAAUCCAAUAUUGAAUAGAAAUCGAAUGUUGAAUAGAAAUCCAAUAUUGAAUAGAAAUCCAAUAUUGAACAGAAAUCCAAUAUUGAACAGAAAUCCAAUAUUGAACAGAAAUCCAAUGGUUUGUUCUAAUUUGUCUCAAAUGGCUUUUCAGAUUUGGCAGGGGAGGGAGAACAGAAUGACCAACAGAGAACAUUCUGACUUGAAAAUCUCACUGUAGAGAAGGGUUUUUCUCUUAUUAAAAAAGAAUUUCACUGGAUUAACCAGCUGAAAAUAAAGAUAGCAUUCAAAGCCCAUGAGUCAAGCCACAGCCAAAACCGUGUUCUACCCCUAAGUGUUGUUUUCUUUUCCUUUUUCUUUUUUUUUUUCCUCUUUUUUUUU
Molecule: long non-coding RNA, 1795 nt
Organism: Melospiza georgiana
Lineage: Eukaryota; Metazoa; Chordata; Aves; Passeriformes; Passerellidae
Exons: 2
Source: RefSeq, a predicted model, not a curated record